GAUGAACGCUGGCGGCGUGCUUAACACAUGCAAGUCGAGCGAGAAAAGUUCUUCGGAGCUUUUCUAGCGGCGGACGGGUGAGUAACACGUGGGCAACCUGCCUCAUAGAGGGGAAUAGCCUUCCGAAAGGAAGAUUAAUACCGCAUAACAUUGUUGAAAGGCAUCUUUUAACAAUCAAAGGAGCAAUCCGCUAUGAGAUGGGCCCGCGGCGCAUUAGCUAGUUGGUGAGGUAACGGCUCACCAAGGCGACGAUGCGUAGCCGACCUGAGAGGGUGAUCGGCCACAUUGGAACUGAGACACGGUCCAGACUCCUACGGGAGGCAGCAGUGGGGAAUAUUGCACAAUGGGGGAAACCCUGAUGCAGCAACGCCGCGUGAGUGAUGAAGGUCUUCGGAUUGUAAAGCUCUGUCUUUAGGGACGAUAAUGACGGUACCCAAGGAGGAAGCCACGGCUAACUACGUGCCAGCAGCCGCAGUAA
Molecule: ribosomal RNA, 478 nt
Filed under: uncultured bacterium
Lineage: Bacteria
Description: partial 16S ribosomal RNA
Rfam family: Bacterial small subunit ribosomal RNA
Source: RNAcentral